CUCACUGUUAUAUGACUGGACAUAAAACACGGACGUUCACGGAGGCGCAUGUAAGACAUAUCCGUAGUAUGAUUGAUGACUAUGGCACUACUGUACACUGCAUGGAGCAAAUCUUGUCCGUAUUGACGACAUUUGGGAGAACAAGUUUCUAAAAAAAAUCUUCUUAGAAAUCUUAACGUAUCUGAUAGAUGGACUGGUUUAUCUGACCAGAGAGCUGAAGGAGUUUGGCGAUGGUAUGGUUCGAACAAACAUGUAGCCUUCUCGGAUUGGGGGCCUGGCGAGCCAAACAAUUACGAGAACAGCAAUGAGGACUGCGUAGGCUUUUUUCCUAAGCUGAAUUACGCUUGGAAUGAUUAUCCUUGCGAUGCAAAGAUCAGGCCAUUAUGCGAGAAGUCAUAAAAGAUUAUCUUCUAAUAUCACAUGGCACAAUAAAUAUCAGUUAAAGCAGAUACAAAUGUAUAUGAAAAUACAAAUGUAACCUGUAACUAUUCGACAGACAACCCUUUAUACAGUGCUUUCAUCAUUUCAUAUUAACGAUAUUCUGUAAACAGUUUUGUUGCAGUCUCUGUAAAUCCUAAUUUCUGAAAUGUUGUUCGAUAACGUCGAGCUUAUAAUUUAAUUCAAACUUUCUGAAUACUAUGUUAUGUGUUAUUUGUUGUAUUAUCGAUGUACUUAACGAACUUUAAAAAAUAAACAAAGGAAAACACUCUCUUACAAAAGAAUUUUAAAUGUACAUGCGUUCUGAUGAACAUUGAAAUUUUAAUUUUUGAAUACAGCCAUUGAUAUUAGAUAAU
Mercenaria mercenaria is the source of this 794-nucleotide long non-coding RNA. RefSeq lists it as uncharacterized. NCBI's taxonomy places the organism in Eukaryota, Metazoa, Mollusca, Bivalvia, Venerida, Veneridae. The record is from RefSeq and is a predicted model, not a curated record. The transcript has 3 exons.